UACGAAGGGGGCAAGCGUUGUUCGGAAUUAUUGGGCGUAAAGGGCGCGUAGGCGGUUUGUUGCGUCGGCUGUGAAAUCCCGAGGCUCAACCUCGGGUCGUGCAGUCGAUACGAGCAAACUAGAGUGUUGCAGGGGAGACUGGAAUUCCUGGUGUAGCGGUGAAAUGCGCAGAUAUCAGGAGGAACACCGGUGGCGAAGGCGGGUCUCUGGGCAACAACUGACGCUGAGGCGCGAAAGCGUGGGGAGCAAACAGG
RNAcentral lists this ribosomal RNA (254 nucleotides) under uncultured bacterium. RNAcentral's name for it is "partial 16S ribosomal RNA". It matches the Rfam family "Bacterial small subunit ribosomal RNA", at positions 524 to 776 of the family's 1533-position model. The record is from RNAcentral.